This 810-nucleotide ribosomal RNA is filed under the name uncultured bacterium. RNAcentral describes it as "bacterial SSU rRNA". It matches the Rfam family "Bacterial small subunit ribosomal RNA", at positions 8 to 796 of the family's 1533-position model. The record is from RNAcentral.
AGAGUUUGAUCAUGGCUCAGAACGAACGCUGGCGGCGUGCCUAACACAUGCAAGUCGAGCGAGAAAGGGGAGCAAUCCCUGAGUAAAGCGGCAGACGGGUGAGUAACACGUGGGUAAUCUGCCCUCGAGCGGGGAAUAACAUCUCGAAAGAGGUGCUAAUACCGCAUAACGUCCAGAGGCCUGAGGGCCAUUGGACCAAAGGUGGGGAUCUUCGGACCUACCACUCGAGGAGGAGCCCGCGCCUGAUUAGCUAGUUGGUGGGGUAACGGCCUACCAAGGCGACGAUCAGUAGCCGGCCUGAGAGGGUGAACGGCCACACUGGAACUGAGACACGGUCCAGACUCCUACGGGAGGCAGCAGUGAGGAAUUUUGCGCAAUGGGCGAAAGCCUGACGCAGCAACGCCGCGUGGACGAUGAAGGUCUUCGGAUCGUAAAGUCCUGUCGAGUGGGAAGAAAAAUAUCGGUUCUAAUAAAACCGGUAUUCGACUGUACCACCAAAGGAAGCCCCGGCUAACUCCGUGCCAGCAGCCGCGGUAAUACGGAGGGGGCUAGCGUUGUUCGGAAUUAUUGGGCGUAAAGGGCGCGUAGGCGGCCGAAUAAGUCUGAUGUGAAAUCCCUCGGCUCAACCGGGGAACUGCAUUUGAAACUGUUCGGCUCGAGUCCGGGAGAGGGUAGUGGAAUUCCCAGUGUAGCGGUGAAAUGCGUAGAUAUUGGGAGGAACACCGGUGGCGAAGGCGGCUACCUGGACCGGUACUGNNGCUGAGGCGCGAAAGCUAGGGUAGCAAACAGGAUUAGAUACCCUAGUAGUCC